RNAcentral lists this ribosomal RNA (470 nucleotides) under uncultured bacterium. Its description in RNAcentral is "bacterial SSU rRNA". It matches the Rfam family "Bacterial small subunit ribosomal RNA", at positions 335 to 799 of the family's 1533-position model. The record is from RNAcentral.
ACUCCUACGGGAGGCAGCAGUGGGGAAUAUUGCACAAUGGGCGCAAGCCUGAUGCAGCCAUGCCGCGUGUGUGAAGAAGGCCUCGGUUGUAAAGCACUUCAGUUGUGAGGAAGGUGGUGUCGUUAAUAGCGGCAUCAUUUGUACGUUAGCAACAGAAGAAGCACCGGCUAACUCCGUGCCAGCAGCCGCGGUAAUACGUAGGGGGCGAAGCGUUAUCCGGAAUCACUGGGCGUAAAGGGUGCGUAGGCGGUUUUCAAGUCAGAAGUGAAAGGCUAUGGCUCAACCAUAGUAAGCUUUUGAAACUGUUAAACUUGAGUGCAGGAGAGGAAAGUGGAAUUCCUAGUGUAGAGGUGAAAUUCGUAGAUAUUAGGAGGAACACCAGUGGCGAAGGCGACUUUCUGGACUGUAACUGACGCUGAGGCACGAAAGCGUGGGGAGCGAACAGGAUUAGAUACCCUGGUAGCACAGCG